GUAAGCUUGCUGCUUCGCUGACGAGUGGCGGACGGGUGAGUAAUGUCUGGGAAAUGCCUGAUGGAGGGGGAUAACUACUGGAAACGGUGGCUAAUACCGCAUAACGUCGCAAGACCAAAGAGGGGGACCUUCGGGCCUCUUGCCAUCAGAUGUGCCCAGAUGGGAUUAGCUUGUUGGUGAGGUAACGGCUCACCAAGGCGACGAUCCCUAGCUGGUCUGAGAGGAUGACCAGCCACACUGGAACUGAGACACGGUCCAGACUCCUACGGGAGGCAGCAGUGGGGAAUAUUGCACAAUGGGCGCAAGCCUGAUGCAGCCAUGCCGCGUGUAUGAAGAAGGCCUUCGGGUUGUAAAGUACUUUCAGCGGGGAGGAAGGUGUUGUGGUUAAUAACC
This 393-nucleotide ribosomal RNA is filed under the name Salmonella enterica subsp. enterica serovar Anatum. Its description in RNAcentral is "bacterial SSU rRNA". It matches the Rfam family "Bacterial small subunit ribosomal RNA", at positions 69 to 468 of the family's 1533-position model. Lineage: Bacteria; Pseudomonadati; Pseudomonadota; Gammaproteobacteria; Enterobacterales; Enterobacteriaceae. The record is from RNAcentral.